AAGCUGUGUUAAUAGAAGGAAUACAAAUUUCUUAUGUCCUCCAGACAGGAGAAGGUUUGGGGAGUCAAUUAAUCCUCAUCGAGGCAAGAGAUGUUUGCUUUUGAAUACAGGAGGAGAAAUGGGCCGCAGCUCCAAGUGUAAUCUGCCCCCAUCUUUGAAACCAGAGCCCGCUCUUCCGGUCUCCCUGGGAAAGCCGGGAAGUACUGAGUUCCUGGAGCCCUCCCGCGGCUCGGCAGAAGCAGCAGGAACUGGGUCAAGGAGGAGAGGCCAUCAACAUCUUUUGACACCAGAGGCCUGUGAAAUUUGCAAGACACAGAAAGAGAAGGAGCCGAGGGAGGCUUGAGCCUUUUUCGAGGAAGGGUAGCACAUGGCCAGGUGUUCGUGAUCAGGGGAUGGAGGUGUAAGGAAGAAGUGAUCAUCUGCGUCCAUCUUGGGUGUAAUCUUGUGUUGUCUAGCAAGCCUCAGAAAUACUUCGUUCGAUACAAACCCCAGAAAUGCCUUAAGAGAAAUGGUAGGAGAACCUUGCAGGACUCAAGCUUGCACCGUCAGCUCUCCGGCAUCUCAGGCCUUCCAACUUGGACCGGCGCUGUAGCCUUGGCUCUUUGGAUGUCCAGCGUGCUGAUUACAGAUUGAGAUUUCUCAACCUCGGAAAUAGUCUCUGUGGCCUUUAUUUCCUUCCUGCUUGGCUGAUCCGGGACCCCAGGAAGCCAGGCUUCCUGUCGCGAUCAGUUCGAGGACCGCCUGCAGAAACGCACACUCAGCAGAGCGGCGCUCGCCAAGGGAGAGGCUGCGAAAGGUCAGAGAACUCGAGGCAGACGCAGACCCACGGAGGAGCCCGUGCACGUUCACACAAACACGCCGAACGUCUCUGACGGGCGGAGGGAAGGAAAGGUGGUGGAUGCAAGACUGAAAAGCAAAAACAACAUGAGUGAGCCUGGAGGACAUGACCAGAGAGAGUGCACACACAAGAAGACAGAGCGACAGGCAAAGGAGGAGGGAGAAGCAGGCU
Ailuropoda melanoleuca (giant panda) is the source of this 1009-nucleotide long non-coding RNA. RefSeq lists it as uncharacterized. The transcript is spliced from 5 exons. Lineage: Eukaryota; Metazoa; Chordata; Mammalia; Carnivora; Ursidae. The record is from RefSeq and is a predicted model, not a curated record.